Molecule: ribosomal RNA, 2085 nt
Filed under: anaerobic digester metagenome
Description: bacterial LSU rRNA
Rfam family: Bacterial large subunit ribosomal RNA
Source: RNAcentral
CCAAUCGAACCCGGAGAUAGCUGGUUCUCCCCGAAAUAGCUUUAGGGCUAGCCUCGUUUAUGAGUCUGGCGGAGGUAGAGCACUGAAUGGGCUAGGGGCCUUACCGGGUUACCGAACCUUAUCAAACUCCGAAUGCCGUCAAGAUGCUGAACGGGAGUCAGACUGCGACAGAUAAGUGCCGUAGUCGAGAGGGAAACAGCCCAGACCAUCAGCUAAGGUCCCUAAAUCAUUGUUAAGUGGCAAAGGAUGUGGAUUUGCAAAGACAGCCAGGAUGUUGGCUUAGAAGCAGCCAUUCAUUGAAAGAGUGCGUAACAGCUCACUGGUCGAGUGGGUCUGCGCCGAAGAUGUCCGGGGCUAAACAGUGUACCGAAGCUAUGGGGCCAUGGAUGAUCCAUGGUUGGUAGGGGAGCGUACCGCAGGGAGCAGAAGCACGACUGGGAAGACGUGUGGAUCCAACGGUAGUGAGAAUGUCGGAAUGAGUAACGAGAGGAAGGUGAGAAUCCUUCCCGUCGAAAAUCCAAGGUUUCCUGGGGAAGGUUCGUCCACCCAGGGUUAGUCGGGGCCUAAGGCGAGGCUGAGAAGCGUAGUCGAUGGACAACAGGUUGAAAUUCCUGUACUACCGACCGGUGCAUGAGAGAGGCAGUGACACAGGAGGAAUGAGCGAGCGCGCGACUGGAAGAGCGCGUCCAAGCACAAAGGAUAGUCCCUUAGUGAAGUACGGGGGAUGUUUCUGAUGUGUGACGGGGAGGGAACCAAAGUACCGAAGCGUGACAUUUCACACUGGCGAGAAAACCUGCUAUCGAGCCGGAAGGUACCCGUACCGCAAACCGACACAGGUGGAUGAGGAGAGAAUCCUAAGACGAGCGGGAGAAGCAUUGUUAAGGAACUCGGCAAAUUAACCCCGUACGUUCGCAAGAAGGGGUGCCUGCUGAAAGGCAGGCCGCAGUGAAUCGGCCCGAGCAACUGUUUACCAAAAACACAGGUCUCCGCAAAAUCGCAAGAUGAUGUAUGGGGGCUGACGCCUGCCCGGUGCUGGAAGGUUACGGGAAUCUGUUAGCGCAAGCGAAGCAGUGAACUUAAGCCCCAGUAAACGGCGGCCGUAACUAUAACGGUCCUAAGGUAGCGAAAUUCCUUGUCAGGUAAGUUCUGACCCGCACGAAAGGCGUAAUGACUUGGGCACUGUCUCGACAAUGCGCCCGGUGAAAUUGUAGUACUUGUGAAGAUGCAAGUUACCCGCGACAGGACGGAAAGACCCCAUGGAGCUUUACUGUAGAUUGUUAUUGGGAUCCGGUAUUGUCUGUAUAGGAUAGGUGGGAGACGGCGAAGCGCUGGCGUCAGUUGGCGUGGAGUCAUCCUUGGAAUACCACUCUGACAGUAUUGGUUCUCUAACCGAUGGCCGUUAUCCGGUCACGGGACAUUGGCAGUCGGGCAGUUUGACUGGGGCGGUCGCCUCCCAAAAAGUAACGGAGGCGUUCAAAGGUUACCUCAGUACGGUUGGAAACCGUGCAUUGAGUGCAAAGGCAUAAGGUAGCCUGACUGCGAGACCGACAAGUCGAGCAGAUGCGAAAGCAGGACUUAGUGAUCCGGCGGUAGAAAGUGGAAUUGCCGUCGCUCAACGGAUAAAAGUUACCCUGGGGAUAACAGGCUGAUUCCUCCCAAGAGUUCACAUCGACGGGGGAGUUUGGCACCUCGAUGUCGGCUCAUCACAUCCUGGGGCUGUAGCAGGUCCCAAGGGUUGGGCUGUUCGCCCAUUAAAGUGGUACGCGAGCUGGGUUCAGAACGUCGUGAGACAGUUCGGUCCCUAUCUAUCGUGGGCGUAGGAAAUUUGAGAGACGCUGUCCCUAGUACGAGAGGACCGGGAUGGACGAACCGAUGGUGAACCGGUUGUCGCGCCAGCGGCACCGCCGGGUAGCUAAGUUCGGAUGGGAUAAACGCUGAAAGCAUCUAAGUGUGAAGCCCCCCUCAAGAUGAGAUUUCCCCACAUUAUGUGAUAAGGUCCCUGACAGACGAUCAGGUUAAUAGGCCGGAAGUGGAAGCGCAGCAAUGCGUGCAGCGGACCGGUACUAAUCGACCGAAGACUUGACC